Molecule: ribosomal RNA, 468 nt
Filed under: uncultured bacterium
Lineage: Bacteria
Description: partial 16S ribosomal RNA
Rfam family: Bacterial small subunit ribosomal RNA
Source: RNAcentral
GACGAACGCUGGCGGCGUGCUUAACACAUGCAAGUCGAACGGAAAGGCCCUGCUUUUGUGGGGUGCUCGAGUGGCGAACGGGUGAGUAACACGUGAGUAACCUGCCCUUGACUUUGGGAUAACUUCAGGAAACUGGGGCUAAUACCGGAUAGGAGCUCCUGCUGCAUGGUGGGGGUUGGAAAGUUUCGGCGGUUGGGGAUGGACUCGCGGCUUAUCAGCUUGUUGGUGGGGUAGUGGCUUACCAAGGCUUUGACGGGUAGCCGGCCUGAGAGGGUGACCGGCCACAUUGGGACUGAGAUACGUCCCAGACUCCUACGGGAGGCAGCAGUGGGGAAUAUUGCACAAUGGGCGGAAGCCUGAUGCAGCAACGCCGCGUGCGGGAUGACGGCCUUCGGGUUGUAAACCGCUUUCGCCUGUGACGAAGCGUGAGUGACGGUAAUGGGUAAAGAAGCACCGGCUAACUACGUG